CUUCCUGACAAGAGAAGAUCUGUGUUUUUAUGGCUGUGGAGUUUUUUGAUCUAAACCUUAACCUGAAGACUGUUUUCCUGGCUUGACCUUUACCUUUACUACAGACCUGCUUAGUAAAUGCUGGCCCUGAUCUUAAUGUUGAUCUGUGGAUUGAUUUCCUAGAUUGACCUCGGACCUGCCUCAUCACUAGGGGUCUGCCUGAUGAGAUAGGCUAUUAGUUGGAGCUGGUCACCUCUGGACCCUCAUUACUUAGAUGCUACGGGACUGGACCUUGGUUGAUAUCCCUGCGAGGCCUUCAAGCAGUGCAGAGGAUAUCAUAUCAAAGGCAAGCCUGUGAUGCCCUGCCAGAGGGGAUAUGCAGCCAGGGAGCAGUGAGAGAAUGAGGGGAAAAAAAAAUCUCCUCUAAUGAGAAUGGUGAAGAUCUCCUAUGGCUCUUUCAUGUAUAUGUUAGCUUUCUGUAAAGUCUGUGGCUGCUGAACUCAUGGAAAAAAACCCUACACCUGUUUGAAGCACUAAAAUGUAGAGCUGGAUCAGCUGGAUAUAAUUGCCUAAUGUCCUAGGAGCAAAUAAUGGCUGUUUUUCCAACUGUUAAUGAAGUGCUGCUACAGAAGCACCACCAAUGGACAAGAUGGAGAAGCUGGUGUGCUCUGCUUUCUGCCAAAUAAGUGUCUUUGUUUGGAAGCAGCACUGGAAUUGUAAUUCGAAUCCAGCUCAAGACUGAGGAGAGCCCUGCUAAGGCAAAGAUAACUCCCCAUGUGAUGAUAAGUUAACCAGUGUGCAGGAAAGCAACUCCUAGCCUGUUUCAGGUAUGAGAUGUAUGUUGAAACAGGAUGAGAGGCUUCUUAAAGAGGUGGAGAAAAUGCAUUCCAUUCAAAUUCCAUUAACAGGAGCUUCAGUCAACCUUAAACAGUUACUUCUAAUACAACUAAAGGAAGAAAUAACUUCUAUUGGCACCUUUCAAAUGUAUUUGGAAAGCACUUUGAGUAUCUGUCUUCUGCUCUAUUGUUUACUCAUUGAAGGCUGCUACAACUUCUAGGUGCUGAAAAUCAUCUUAGCCCUCAGCAUAAGGUUUAGGAGGAACGGCAAGAAGGUUAAAGGCAAAUAUUCAGAUGCUAAUCAAGUGUUCUGUGUGUCUUAAUAAAAGAAAAUAUUUCUCUGUUUACACAUAUACAUACUAUUGCAAACACUUUCUGGGCUUGGCAUGCCAGAGAUAUUGAUGUCUGGUCUUGGUUGCCUCAGCCAAGCUGUACAUCUGCUAGAGCUGGAUGAACUUGUGGUGCACUUAUUACUCCCUCUCUUUCAGGCUGAUGGGGUUUCUUCUACUCUUCUACCUAUGCUUUGAGGAAAGGAACAGUCCAUCUUUUGUCUGGAAGUUAGUGCUCUUUCUAAUGUUGUUUCUGUGCUGGUUGGGGUAGAUGCGCUUUCAGAAAAGGCAGGAUAUCGGUGUGGUGGUAGUGCUUACAUUACGAAGAGUAUGCUUGAUAACAUAGUAGUGACGUUGAAUUUUUUUAUAUAGUAAGUUUCCAUGUUAGUAUGUAUAUUGGGUAUUAAAAAAUGUCUUGUGAGUAGCUCUGUUUUCAGAGAUGUAUGUAAAGUUAGUCCUUGUUAGACUAGGCUAUGUUGCAUUCCUGUCUGCUUUAGGUCACUUGAGUCUUCUGUUGUGUUUGUUUUUGACAUAAGUUCAUGAUGUUAGUCAGAAGUCUGAGGUCUCCAUGGGACUGGGACUUCCAGAAUAUAUUUCUGAAUUUGAAUUUUUUGUGCCCUCUUUUGAAUUUGAAUUUUUGUGCCUUUUUUUUUUUUCUUGAAAUGCACCUUGUAUGCUGCAUCAUAUGUCCACCUUUCAGAACAAAGAGCUGUGUAGUAUAAUUUAGAAGGAGGGAGAGGGAUAAACAACCCCACUCAUACCUAUUUCUAUCUACAGUUCUAACUGAUUAUAUUAUUAGUAAUGAGCAAUCUAAUGAGUUUAUUGUCCUUUAGGUCAUAAAAUAGCCAGAAGCAGGCUGUGCUUUUCUCAAAUUUAUUAUCUGUUCAGAAUUUGCACAAUUAUUUUAUCCCUCUUAAACCUAUGAAUGGGAACUGAGCAGUUUAUUUGACAUUCAGCUUCUGAGCUGCAUUUCUCCUGUUGAUAACCCUUUCAGAAGCAAGUCUUUAAAUCGCUUGUAGACUAGUAGAAGAUAAAGUACAGAGAUUUUUUUUAUACUGA
This is a long non-coding RNA of Cygnus olor (mute swan), 2203 nucleotides long. RefSeq lists it as uncharacterized. The transcript has 3 exons. NCBI's taxonomy places the organism in Eukaryota, Metazoa, Chordata, Aves, Anseriformes, Anatidae. The record is from RefSeq and is a predicted model, not a curated record.